UCCAAUCGUCUGGCAAUUAGGCGGUAAUUUUUUUCGGUGUAAGCCUGAAUCUUUGUUUCUCGAACCAGGCCCCUGCGAAUAGAAGCAACAUGGAAGUGUUCUUUAAAAACCAAUUGAGACAUCAUAUUUACAAUUGUGUUCGACGUUUGUUCGCGCAAGUAAAUAGGGGGUGGUUUAUAGUCCUUUCAAGGACUCUCAUUGUCCUCGUCUUCUGCAAAAUCAAGGAUGGAAACUCUGUUGCCAUCCUUAGAUGGUUCACCUUGUGUAAUUUUUAACUGCUUAGCAAUACGUUGUUGUUGAGUGCCCUUGGGGCUAGCUUUACGUACCUGUUUGCGCUUGAUGUUGAGCUACUGCUGAUGUUGUUGGUGCGUUGGAUUUUUGUUGCUAUUUUUUCUUUUACGUCACUAUUCGAUUCUAAUUUUUUUACACUCAUACAUGCGGAUAAUGAGUUACUACGUACAUCAAAUAAGCACGGCCAUCAAGUUUUUUUAUUUUUAUUUAUGUUUAUUUUUUCGCUUUCCACUUCUGUAAAAGUGUAGUACCCAUUUUUGCCAGUUACUCUAGCAUUUUAUUUGUUUAUAAGUGAGUUAGUUUUUUCUAGUUCUCUUAUAUUAUUUACUCUAAAAGAGCUGAGACUGUUUCUCGGCCUCGCCUCAUGAAGAGGUUCAGCCAUUUUUAUUUCCUAGUAUUAUCUCUACUGGGUAUUAGCAACCUGUCGUUUGGGCGAUUAUGCAGUUUGAUGUGGAAGUUUUUAUUUUGAUUUUAUAUCACCAAUGUGACAGCGUUGGCUCACCGUGUGACACAAACAGCUGAUGUGCACUUAAGGAGGUGGAGAAAAUGUUUUUUUCGCGAAAACUAAUUAAUUGAUUGAUUAUUUAAUUUUUUUUGUUUAAAGAACUUAUUCAGAUUCGGUGAUUUGUUUUGUGCAAUUUUUAACAAUUACUGCUACUAAUCCCAGGAAAGCAAUGUGUAACGUGGUGACAACAAUAUUGAUGCCCCCGGCGAUCCGCCUACGAAUUACCACAGCCUGGACUAUUUGAGUCUAGUUGAAUGUUGAUCGCACUCAAUCGCUUUUUCACUUUCACACACAGCCAGUAAUGCUACGAGUUUGUAGAGCAACGAAAAAAUUCGAUGUCUCUCAACAUCUGUGCCAGUCGAUACCUUUGUGUUCCAGCUACUUCUAUAGAGUCGGAGGUUUGAUUGCUAAUAUCAGACAAGAGAACAGAAAUUAAGUCUAAAAACGUCAAUAAACUACUAUUUUUACGUAACGUACUCAA
This is a non-coding RNA of Bactrocera oleae (olive fruit fly), 1277 nucleotides long. The record is from RefSeq and is a predicted model, not a curated record. NCBI's taxonomy places the organism in Eukaryota, Metazoa, Arthropoda, Insecta, Diptera, Tephritidae.